UACUUUCACUUUCGAUUUACCACUUCCGGGUACAUCGGCAGACUUUUUUACCGUUACGCAUAUAGGUAACCCGAAGAACUCGAGGGAUAUAGAAGUUAAAUUUGUUUCGGUCCUCUUCAGAUUUGAAGGAAUGGAUAGCGCGGGUCAAAAAAUGCAGAUGUAUAGACAAGGAGGUAUAUGACAAGUAUAGAAUAUACAGUUGUUCAAUAUGGACCAUUAAUCAAACUGUUUGCACUGCCUAUGAUCCUGAAAUAUCUAUACAUCAAAGAUAAAAAGGGAAAAGAUGAAGGAGGAUUUGUCCAUGAAGACCUUUAUUUGCAACUACCAUCUUCCAGUUCCUUAAUUUGAGAAUGAUAUCAGAGAACA
Long non-coding RNA from Ruditapes philippinarum (Manila clam), 366 nucleotides. RefSeq lists it as uncharacterized. Lineage: Eukaryota; Metazoa; Mollusca; Bivalvia; Venerida; Veneridae. The record is from RefSeq and is a predicted model, not a curated record. The transcript has 3 exons.